This 426-nucleotide small RNA is filed under the name Oryza sativa Japonica Group (Japanese rice). Its description in RNAcentral is "sRNA Os06g0247150". The record is from RNAcentral. Lineage: Eukaryota; Viridiplantae; Streptophyta; Magnoliopsida; Poales; Poaceae.
GUGCUGCACUCUUCAGAUUCAGCAGCUCGAAUAGCUAUACCAAGAAAUUUGUGAAUAAGAAACUUCAAGCGGCACCUAUCCUCCAAUCUGGGAUCUUAUACGACAAUCUUGCCAUAACAGUCCUCAAUAGCACCAACUCGUGCUUCUCGAGUCCAUCGCUUCAAAAUAUAUUUGUCUCGUUUUCCUUUGAUAACUCUUUCAAGAUUAUUGAAAAACUGAAUAAUGUCAAGAUCAGACUUGAGAUGGUUUUUCAAGUCAUUAUUUAAGCUCUCACUCAACUGUGUGCUUCUCAUCCCUAAUGUGUAAACAUUCCUCAUGUAGCAUUCCGCCCAUUUCUCUUUUACCUUAUAUAUACUGUUUAGCCAAGUCUGCUUGUGCACCUUGCUUCUGAUGGUACUGAAAGUUUCCUCAAAAGUUGCUUCAUCU